GUCAGGAAUAUUGGACAAUGGGCGAAAGCCUGAUCCAGCCAUGCCGCGUGAACGAUGAAGGCCUUCGGGUUGUAAAGUUCUUUAGCCGAUGAUUAUAAUGACUGUAGUCGGAAAAUAAGCCCCGGCUAACUUCGUGCCAGCAGCCGCGGUAAUACGAAGGGGGCGAGCGUUAUUCGGAAUCACUGGGCGUAAAGCGUGCGUAGGCGGUUUUGUAAGUUAGGAGUGAAAGCCCAGGGCUCAACCUUGGAAUUGCACUUAAAACUGCAAGGCUCGAAUCUCGGAGAGGAUAGCGGAAUUUCCAGUGUAGCAGUGAAAUGCGUAGAUAUUGGAAGGAACACCAGUGGCGUAAGCGGCUAUCUGGACGAGUAUUGACGCUGAGGCACGAAAGCGUGGGGAUCAAACAGGAUUAGAUACCCCGGUAGUCC
Molecule: ribosomal RNA, 425 nt
Filed under: uncultured bacterium
Lineage: Bacteria
Description: partial 16S ribosomal RNA
Rfam family: Bacterial small subunit ribosomal RNA
Source: RNAcentral